CGCCUGGGGAGUGCGGCCGCAAGGUUAAAACUCAAAUGAAUUGACGGGGGCCCGCACAAGCGGUGGAGCAUGUGGUUUAAUUCGACGCAACGCGAAGAACCUUACCUGGCCUUGACAUCCAGAGAGCUUUCCAGAGAUGGAUUGGUGCCUUCGGGAACUCUGAGACAGGUGCUGCAUGGCCGUCGUCAGCUCGUGUCGUGAGAUGUUGGGUUAAGUCCCGUAACGAGCGCAACCCCUAUCCCUGGUUGCUAGCAGGUAAUGCUGAGAACUCCAGGGAGACUGCCGGUGACAAACCGGAGGAAGGUGGGGAUGACGUCAGGUCAUCAUGGCCCUUACGGCCAGGGCUACACACGUGCUACAAUGGCGCGUACAGAGGGCUGCCAACUCGCGAGAGUGAGCCAAUCCCUUAAAACGCGUCGUAGUCCGGAUCGGAGUCUGCAACUCGACUCCGUGAAGUCGGAAUCGCUAGUAACCGCGAAUCAGAAUGUCGCGGUGAAUACGUUCCCGGGCCUUGUACACACCGCCCGUCACACCAUGGGAGUGGAUUGCACCAGAAGUAGUUAGUCUAACCUUCGGGAGGACGAUUACCACGGUGUGGUUCAUGACUGGGGUGAAGUCGUAACAAGGUAACCGUA
This 635-nucleotide ribosomal RNA is filed under the name uncultured Marinobacter sp. RNAcentral's name for it is "bacterial SSU rRNA". It matches the Rfam family "Bacterial small subunit ribosomal RNA", at positions 870 to 1504 of the family's 1533-position model. The record is from RNAcentral. Lineage: Bacteria; Pseudomonadati; Pseudomonadota; Gammaproteobacteria; Pseudomonadales; Marinobacteraceae.